This 406-nucleotide ribosomal RNA is filed under the name uncultured bacterium. RNAcentral describes it as "partial 16S ribosomal RNA". It matches the Rfam family "Bacterial small subunit ribosomal RNA", at positions 29 to 526 of the family's 1533-position model. The record is from RNAcentral.
AUUGAACGCUGGCGGCAGGCCUAACACAUGCAAGUCGAACGAGUGGCGGACGGGUGAGUAAUGUCUGGGAAACUGCCUGAUGGAGGGGGAUAACUACUGGAAACGGUAGCUAAUACCGCAUACCAUCAGAUGUGCCCAGAUGGGAUUAGCUAGUGGGUGGGGUAACGGCUACCCAGGGCGACGAUCCCUAGCUGGUCUGAGAGGAUGACCGGCCCCACUGGAACGGAGCAAGGGUCAGGACUCCUACGGAAGGCAGCAGUGGGGAAUAUUGCACAAUGGGCGCAAGCCUGAUGAAGCCAUGCGGCGUGUAUGAAGAAGGCCUGCGGGUUGUAAAGUACUUUGAGCGGGGAGGCGUUACCCGAAGAAGAAGCACCGGCUAACUCCGUGCCAGCAGCCGCGGUAAUAC